Molecule: ribosomal RNA, 418 nt
Filed under: Callibracon sp.
Lineage: Eukaryota; Metazoa; Arthropoda; Insecta; Hymenoptera; Braconidae
Description: partial 16S ribosomal RNA
Source: RNAcentral
GUCUUUAAGAAUUUAAUUUAAAGUNUAAUCUGCCCAAUGAUAUUAAUUUAAUGGCUGCAGUAUUUUUAACUGUACAAAGGUAGCAUAAUAAUUUGUUUUUUAAUUAAAAACUAGAAUGAAAGAUUUGAUAAAAUAUAAACUGUUUCAAUUAAAAAGAUUAAAAUUUUUAUUUAAGUUAAAAAACUUAAAUAAAUUUUAAAGACGAUAAGACCCUAUAGAAUUUUAUUAAUUUUUUAAUAUAUAAAUAAAAUAUUAUAAAAUUAAUUUAAUUGGGGUAAUUUAAAAAUUUAUAAAAUUUUUUAUUUAUUAAACAUUUAUUAAUGAUUAAAUAAUCUUAAUUUUUAAAUUAAAAAAAUUAAUUACCUUAGGGAUAACAGCAUAAUUUUUUUUUUAAGUUCUUAUUUAUAAAAAAGAUUAU